UAAAAGGGACUUCGCCUCUUUUUCCGGGCUCGGCAGGGUAGCACUCGGGACCCCGGCUCUCCGACCCUCACGGCUGCCGAUUUGCUGGGGGGACUUGGAGAGCCGCCUUCCCCUUCCUGACGCGGACAGAGGGGCCAGCCUUGGUCCACCGCGCGCGCUGCAUCUCUGCUCCGUCCCCAGCCGCCCGCCCGGGCUGCCACCCGCCGAGUCCCGAGAGCGAGCGGGCGAGCGAGCGGGGGCCGGCGCUGCGUUCGCCCGGGCGCGCCCUCCAGGAUGCUGCUCCGCCCGGUCCGCUGAAAACGGGCGCCCCUUCCCGGCCCAAAGGCGGGCGCCCCUUCCCGGCGCCUCCUCCAGCUCACCCCUGAGGCUUCUAGGCGCCCGGGGCUCCCCCCGCCUGCUCCCUUCCUCCCUCUCUCGCUCUCUCGCUCUCUCGCUCGCGCUCGCUCUGGUAGGGCCUUCCUCGCGGUCCGUGCGCGCAGGCGGUGGCUAGCUGUCUCGGACGCAGCAUGCAGGCGCGCUACUCUGUGUCCGACCCCAACGCCCUGGGAGUGGUGCCCUACUUGAGCGAGCAGAAUUACUACCGGGCGGCGGGCAGCUACGGAGGCAUGGCCAGCCCCAUGGGUGUCUACUCGGGGCACCCGGAGCAGUACGGCGCGGGCAUGGGCCGCUCCUACGCGCCCUACCACCACCACCAGCCCGCGGCGCCCAAGGACCUCGUGAAGCCGCCCUACAGCUACAUCGCGCUCAUAACCAUGGCGAUCCAGAACGCGCCCGAGAAGAAGAUCACCCUGAACGGCAUCUACCAGUUCAUCAUGGAUCGCUUUCCCUUCUACCGGGAGAACAAGCAGGGCUGGCAGAACAGCAUCCGCCACAACCUCUCGCUCAACGAGUGCUUCGUCAAGGUGCCCCGCGACGACAAGAAACCUGGCAAGGGCAGCUACUGGACCCUGGACCCGGACUCCUACAACAUGUUCGAGAACGGCAGCUUCCUGCGGCGGCGGCGGCGCUUCAAGAAGAAGGACGUGCCCAAGGAGAAGGAGGAGCGGGCCCACCUCAAGGAGCCGCCCCCGGCGGCGUCCAAGGGCGCCCCGGCCGCCCCCCCACUAGCGGACGCCCCCAAGGAGGCCGAGAAGAAGGUGGUGAUCAAGAGCGAGGCGGCGUCGCCGGCGCUGCCGGUCAUCACCAAGGUGGAGACGCUGAGCCCCGCGAGCGCGCUGCAGGCCAGCCCGCGCAGCGCGGCCUCCCCGCCCGCCGCCUCCCCCGACGGCUCGCUGCCGGAGCACCACGCAGGCGCGCCCAACGGGCUGCCCGGCUUCAGCGUGGAGAAUAUCAUGACGCUGCGAACGUCGCCGCCGGGAGGCGAGCUGAGCCCCGCGGCCGGGCGCGCGGGCCUGGUGGUGCCGCCGCUGGCUCUGCCCUACGCCGCCGCGCCGCCCGCUGCCUACGGCCAGCCGUGCGCGCAGGGCCUGGAGGCUGCGGGCGCCGGGGGCUACCAGUGCAGCAUGCGCGCCAUGAGCCUGUACACCGGGGCCGAGCGGCCGGCGCACAUGUGCGUCCCGCCAGCGCUGGACGAGGCCCUCUCGGACCACCCGAGCGGCCCCACGUCGCCCCUGAGCGCCCUCAACCUCGCCGCCGGCCAGGAGGGCGCGCUCGCCGCCGCCGGCCAUCACCACCAGCAUCACGGCCACCACCACCCGCAGGCGCCGCCGCCCCCGCCGGCUCCCCAGCCCCAGCCGGCGCCGCAGCCCGGGGCCGCCGCGGCCCAGGCGGCGUCCUGGUAUCUGAACCACAGCGGGGACCUGAACCACCUCUCCGGCCACACGUUCGCAGCCCAGCAGCAGACUUUCCCUAACGUCAGGGAGAUGUUCAACUCCCACCGGCUGGGGAUUGAGAACUCGACCCUCGGGGAACCCCAGGUGAGCAGCAACGCGAGCUGUCAGCUGCCCUACAGAUCUACGCCUUCUCUCUACCGCCACGCAGCCCCAUAUUCCUAUGACUGCACGAAAUACUGACCUGCCCCGGCCCUCCUCUGCCCUGGCCCGCUCUGGCUUCGCCUCCCAGACGCGACCCUCUCAAACAGUUCAGGCUGCAGAGACGCAAAAAGAACCCAAACUUGCCCACCGCUUUUUCCGCAGACCCGGGAGCAGAGAGAGCGCGCGCGCCAGCCUCAGCCCUCUGCGAAGCCGCAGAGCCAUUAAUAUAAUAUUUAAAGUUGAGUUCACUGGAUAAUUUCUCAUCUUGCCCGACCGUUUCUAACUGCCAAAGUGAAAAUUCAAGAAACCUAUGCGGGGUUUCCCCCCUGUACAAUUAUGAGAUAUAAUUCUUUUCCCAGUUGUAGGUCUUUUACAAAACAAGAAAAUAAUUUAUUUUUUGUUGUUGUUGGCGGAUAAAGAAGUCAAGUAUCUGAUACUUUUUAUUUACAAAGUGUGAUGGUGUUGUAUAGUAGAUUCCUCCCCCAGCAUUCCUAAAAGAAAAAAAAAAAAACACUAAAAAUUUAACUUGACCUGUGUUUGUCUUAUGUGGUCUUAAUUGUUGUACUUGCCUUAAAAUAAACCCAUGUUGUUUUUCUGCCCAAA
Balaenoptera ricei (Rice's whale) is the source of this 2576-nucleotide RNA transcript. It is a transcript of the gene named forkhead box C2, with no coding region annotated. NCBI's taxonomy places the organism in Eukaryota, Metazoa, Chordata, Mammalia, Artiodactyla, Balaenopteridae. The record is from RefSeq and is a predicted model, not a curated record. The transcript has 2 exons.